This 23-nucleotide small nuclear RNA is filed under the name Arabidopsis thaliana (thale cress). Its description in RNAcentral is "snRNA_08831". The record is from RNAcentral. Lineage: Eukaryota; Viridiplantae; Streptophyta; Magnoliopsida; Brassicales; Brassicaceae.
GGGUCAGAGACUCUGACUUAGAU